AGUCAAGUGAUUAAUUUAUAUGCGAUAGAAAUAUUAUUUCUAUUAUUUACUAGAAGUCGAGAAAUUAUUCCGACUGCAACGCAGAUUAAAUAUACGGAUUUAAUCUAGAUAUUAAAUGGCUUGUGAAGUGAAUUAAAUCUACUUAUUUAAUUUAUACAUGAAUAAUGAGCAUAAGCCAAUAUUUGAUUGCAAACACGCGAUUAAAUAGUAGAUGCACUGAGUAACCAAGACACAAAGAUUUAUUAUUAUUUACAAUUAGAACUUCAACCACCACUAUCAAUCAAUGCAGUAAUUGAUUUUUUUUCUGAGUACAAGAAGAAAUCUUUGCAUAUAAGCUCACCACUGGCAGCAAGAGUGACGCAGUACAUUUGGGUAAAAAAAUAAAACUCUCGAAUUUGCUGGCUUUAGGAGGAAGAUCAUGCUUAAGACAAUCAUCUUCCACUAUCUAAUUAUUUAUCAACCACUACCUCCACUUAACAAAAAUGAGACCUACGCACUAGCCUGCACCACCACCCUUUUUCUCCACCAAACUUUCCACUUACUUCAUUCCUUCUCUCAUACACCAAGCACCAGAAAGGGAGAUGAAGUUCCUGCUGCCAACUGCCAAGUAUCGAGAGUUUCUUCUCCAUUGAAUUCAUUAUCAACAACAGCAGCUACCAACACAAAAUACUCAAGGUCAAGCGCGAGAGUAAGAACUACACAAGGAGUUAGAGUACCUUAGCAAAACUUUGCUAUCAGGUUGAGCUGUGAUGGGCGAUGAAGUGUUGUUGCUGAGUAGAGUUUUUGUCGAAUUUAAAGUAGGCUCAGAAAGGAUACAUGUCUUCAUACAUGUAUCUCAGUUAUGCAUUCCGCUGUAAACACUGAUUAUUUCAGUUACACCUUCCGUUGCAAACUCUGAUAAUGUUUUAGCCAAGCCCCUAAAAAUGCCUUUUUCCUUUUAAGGAAUAUAACGCGUAUACAAGUUCUUUGA
This is a long non-coding RNA of Salvia miltiorrhiza (redroot sage), 970 nucleotides long. RefSeq lists it as uncharacterized. NCBI's taxonomy places the organism in Eukaryota, Viridiplantae, Streptophyta, Magnoliopsida, Lamiales, Lamiaceae. The record is from RefSeq and is a predicted model, not a curated record. The transcript has 3 exons.